CUCGGGACCUCGGUCAUCCCGGACGAGUCGUGGGCGUACCCGGUCAGGCCAAGACGCCCCGCG
This 63-nucleotide non-coding RNA is filed under the name Micromonospora rhizosphaerae. Lineage: Bacteria; Bacillati; Actinomycetota; Actinomycetes; Micromonosporales; Micromonosporaceae. The record is from RNAcentral.